ACUAUGCUGCUUCUCUUCCAGGACUGUGCACUCAACCUCUGUAACAAUGAGGAACCAUCAUGUUUUCUGCAUUUAUUGGAGUUCAUAAAGAAAAGAAAAUAUAGUUUAUUCUGAUGCACAGUCUAGUAACAGAAGAAGCAUUGCUAUCUUGCUGGAAUUGAAGACUGCAGCACCUACCUCAUGCCUAACAUCAUCUGGGAUUUACAAACUCCCUGAUGCUCCCCAAGAGCAUUGACUUCAGUACAGAUCUAAAGGUGUGGAGGAUGCUUUUCAUAAUAUGGAGUUCAGAAAAAGAGGGGUUAUAAAGAUCUUAUGACGAAAUGUAG
Molecule: long non-coding RNA, 326 nt
Organism: Cygnus olor (mute swan)
Lineage: Eukaryota; Metazoa; Chordata; Aves; Anseriformes; Anatidae
Exons: 3
Source: RefSeq, a predicted model, not a curated record